This is a long non-coding RNA of Culex pipiens pallens (northern house mosquito), 1239 nucleotides long. RefSeq lists it as uncharacterized. The transcript is spliced from 3 exons. Lineage: Eukaryota; Metazoa; Arthropoda; Insecta; Diptera; Culicidae. The record is from RefSeq and is a predicted model, not a curated record.
GUCUAUUAGAGCGGAUGUGAAUAAAGUUGAUGGGUUUAAAGUUGGAAUAUCGUGACUUUUGGAAAAUAUUCGAUUGCUAAUGGCCGUUAGCCAUUUGGAUUCAACCAAGGAUUAUGCUGAAUUCCCAGUCACUCAUUUAAGGAUUAGCAAAGGAAGUCUGCUGUUCCCAAACUCAGCAGAAGUCACAAGGCCGCUUUGCUCCACAUGGGCCGUGACAUGACGCAAAGCCCCUUGGGCAUGAAUAUUUCUGGCAUGAACCAGGGUGAAUACAGUCCUGACUGACUGUUCCGAGACUGUGUCAUUGUUUCUUGUGAAUGUUCUUCAACACCACCAGUCGCAUUAGGCACCAGGUUUCGACAAGGAUUAUCCAGGACGUAACGGAUUUGUAACAGCUCGGGAUCGGUUUCAAAAAGGAAGAAGAUGAUUACGGUUCCGACGAUAGCGGCAAGGAUAAAUAAAAGCUCAUGCUGUCAUCAUUCGAUUGCGAAGGGUUCGACCCUUGGUUGAGAAGAAGGAGCUGUUCGAAGUUACAGCAGCAUCAGCACCGACAUCAUCGCAGUUAUCACUUCAAUGUUCAGCCUUGCUGGUGCUGUUUGCUACCAGUUGGAGCAAACUACCAUGGACAACGACCAUUGCGGCUGCUUAUUUUUGCUUAGGACCAACAAAGCUAUGGUCACUUCAACUGCAGCAGGACCAGCUGGUGACGCAAGGAAUCCACUACGAAAUUACAACAACGACCUGUUGUGUGGUCGGAGUUCUGCAAUAGUGCAACAGUUGAAUUGAUUAGCAGAACAACACAUGUAAAAGGAAAAAUAAAGAGGAAAAUAGAGCAAGGAAAAAUGAGCAAAAAAAAAGUUUGGGAAAUGUCUGAUUUCAUGCCCGUUGAAAAUAAUAAUUUUCAGGAACUGCGAAUGAAUUGUAUUGUUUUUAUUAUUUAAAUUAAAGACUUGUCUUAAGUUCAAAUGCUUUGUAUUACAAACUAAUGAUUCAAAACAGGGGUGUGCUUAUGGGUAGAUUUGAGUAGAUGACAUCUACUUAGCUGUUUGCUUAAAUUUAUUUAUUUUUUAAGGAAAAAUAUUCAAGUUAAACGAUAUUUUUGACCAUAAAAGGGCUUGCACCAAGUUUCACCAAUUUCUUGGCUCAAUUUUGAAGCGCCCUUUUCUUUUUUUCAAGUCAUAUGCACUCUUUCUGGAAAGUCAACCAAACAUUUCAGUGUUCCAAGGUAGUGCUGUCGCAGUC